GGCGACAUAGCCAAGCGGCAAGGCACGCGGCCGGCAAAGCCCCGAACCCUGGUUCGAAUCCAGGUGUCGCCUCCA
RNAcentral lists this transfer RNA (75 nucleotides) under Vulcanimicrobiota bacterium. RNAcentral describes it as "tRNA-Cys". It matches the Rfam family "tRNA". From Rfam's summary of the family: Transfer RNA (tRNA) molecules are approximately 80 nucleotides in length. The record is from RNAcentral. Lineage: Bacteria; Bacillati; Vulcanimicrobiota.